GUUUCCAUAGUGUAGUGGUUAGCACAUCUGCUUUACACACAGAAGGUCUUGGGUGCAUGCCCCAGUGGAGCCA
RNAcentral lists this transfer RNA (73 nucleotides) under Pteropus alecto (black flying fox). It matches the Rfam family "tRNA". From Rfam's summary of the family: Transfer RNA (tRNA) molecules are approximately 80 nucleotides in length. Their secondary structure includes four short double-helical elements and three loops (D, anti-codon, and T loops). Lineage: Eukaryota; Metazoa; Chordata; Mammalia; Chiroptera; Pteropodidae. The record is from Rfam by way of RNAcentral.